ACCAAGGGUAGAGGCGCAUCGUCUAUCAGUAGCAAGUCGGAGGGUGAUUCCGAUGAGGGCUUGCAAAAGGAGCCGGUGCCGAAGUGAGAGAGGGUCAUCAUGCCUGCUCGCUGGGGUUGUCAUCGAAUAGAGGCAACACUGCCAUAGUAUAUAAUUACAUUAACUAUGGAGCGCUACUGUGGAG
RNAcentral lists this non-coding RNA (184 nucleotides) under Photobacterium ganghwense. Its description in RNAcentral is "Lysine sequence". It matches the Rfam family "Lysine riboswitch aptamer". Rfam says of the family: Riboswitches are metabolite binding domains within certain messenger RNAs that serve as precision sensors for their corresponding targets. Allosteric rearrangement of mRNA structure is mediated by ligand binding, and this results in modulation of gene expression. This family includes riboswitches that sense lysine in a number of genes involved in lysine metabolism, including lysC. Lineage: Bacteria; Pseudomonadati; Pseudomonadota; Gammaproteobacteria; Vibrionales; Vibrionaceae. The record is from Rfam by way of RNAcentral.